UACGUAGGCGGCCAUAUAAGUCAGAAGUGAAAGGCUACGGCUUAACCGUAGUAAGCUUGUGAAACUGUAUGGCUUGAGUGCGGGAGAGGAAAGCGGAAUUCCUAGUGUAGCGGUGAAAUGCGUAGAUAUUAGGAAGAACACCAGUAGCGAAGGCGGCUUUCUGGACUGAAACUGACGCUGAGGUACGAAAGCGUGGGGAGCGAACAGGAUUAGAUCCCCUGGUAGUCC
RNAcentral lists this ribosomal RNA (228 nucleotides) under uncultured bacterium. RNAcentral describes it as "partial 16S ribosomal RNA". It matches the Rfam family "Bacterial small subunit ribosomal RNA", at positions 568 to 796 of the family's 1533-position model. The record is from RNAcentral.